UCUUUAGGUUUUUAACAUCGUCUGUAUUGUAAUAGUAUAUACAAUUUUUAAAACGUUAUCAUAGAGUUAACCCUAAAAAUUAUUUAGUACCCGCAUCUAUUUUUCAUGGCCGCCAAUUUUUUGUUGUAAAACUUUUUGACUUAUUUUAUCUGUGAACUAAAAAAAUUUCGGUGGCUGCUCCUUAACUAGGUGAAAAAGAGAGAAUCAACUGAGAGAGCGUAUGAAAAAUUGAUUAUCUUCUACUUGAGUGAAAAUCAAUUGAGUGAAUCAAUUUCUCGUUUGCCCAUCCAUUGAAAAAAUCAGCUAAUCAGUCGAGGGAAACUUCCGGUUCAUCUACCACUUCCCCAUCUUUUUCUUUCACCAAAUCCUCAAACCCUAGUUCCAGAUUUGCCUAUUUAGGAUCCACCAUUUCAGAUCCUGCAUCGUCCGCAACUUCACUAGCCUCUAAACCUGCGCUUCAAUCGACUGUUACAGCAUCAUCUCUGUUCGGAGCCUCUUCUUCCUCAAAUCCACCUUCAUCUCCCUUCGGAGCAGCGCCAACGAGUGCUUUCAAGUCUUCGAUAUUCAAUUUUGGGCGCUAUAGAUGGCGGUGGUUGUUAGUCUCAGUUUUGGAGAAUCAUUUCAACUAGAGAAUUGAUUAGCUCUUGGCAAAGGAGGAAGCUAAUAUUGUUGAUGAUUACGGAGAAGAAGUUUCAAAGAUGGAGGUCCAAGAGGUCCAAGGUGUGAAGAAUUCACAAGUUAAAAACAAGAGUUGUAUGAAAUUUAUUUUUUAUUUUGUCCUUUUACUUUGUAAUAUAGGUCUUUUGUAUAUGGUUUUCAUAUAAAUGUAAUAAAAUAUGACAUUUUUCUU
Molecule: long non-coding RNA, 850 nt
Organism: Arabidopsis lyrata subsp. lyrata
Lineage: Eukaryota; Viridiplantae; Streptophyta; Magnoliopsida; Brassicales; Brassicaceae
Exons: 3
Source: RefSeq, a predicted model, not a curated record